Peromyscus eremicus (cactus mouse) is the source of this 356-nucleotide long non-coding RNA. RefSeq lists it as uncharacterized. The record is from RefSeq and is a predicted model, not a curated record. The transcript has 3 exons. NCBI's taxonomy places the organism in Eukaryota, Metazoa, Chordata, Mammalia, Rodentia, Cricetidae.
CUAGGUGAGCCCAUCCUCCAUCUCUGAGCUUUAUCUGGAGUCCUCACGACGAAUAAAUCCAGAUUGAACCUAGGGCCUUACACGAGGUAGGAGUGUGGGCAACUUAUUAGUGUCUACAGCGCUGAAGGAAACCACUCUCCACGCUCCCUCUCCCAGCAACCACUACCUACCUAUGAAUCCAGAGAUGGGAGACUUCUCAUGAGCCCCACGCCACAUCAGAAUGUUUGAAGAUCCAGUCUUUUGCAGGUGAUAUGCUACCGAGAGUUCAAGAGUAUAACUGCCAUACUGUGCCUGAAACACAGUGCUCCUCAGCACUCCACCCCUCUCUGGUCCUUCCUGUCAUCUCUUCUGAUUUU